CUAUACGGUGAAACUGCGAAUGGCUCAUUAAAUCAGUUAUCGUUUAUUUGAUAGUACCUUACUACUUGGAUAACCGUGGUAAUUCUAGAGCUAAUACAUGCUAAAAACCUCGACUUCGGAAGGGGUGUAUUUAUUAGAUAAAAAACCAAUGCCCUUCGGGGCUCCUUGGUGAUUCAUAAUAACUUAACGAAUCGCAUGGCCUUGUGCCGGCGAUGGUUCAUUCAAAUUUCUGCCCUAUCAACUUUCGAUGGUAGGAUAGUGGCCUACCAUGGUUUCAACGGGUAACGGGGAAUUAGGGUUCUAUUCCGGAGAGGGAGCCUGAGAAACGGCUGCCACAUCCAAGGAAGGCAGCAGGCGCGCAAAUUACCCAAUCCCGACACGGGGAGGUAGUGACAAUAAAUACUGAUACAGGGCUCUUUUGGGUCUUGUAAUUGGAAUGAGUACAAUUUAAAUCCCUUAACGAGGAACAAUUGGAGGGCAAGUCUGGUGCCAGCAGCCGCGGUAAUUCCAGCUCCAAUAGCGUAUAUUAAAGUUGUUGCAGUUAAAAAGCUCGUAGUUGAACCUUGAGCCUGGCUGGCCGGUCCGCCUCACCGCGUGCACUGGUCCGGCCGGGUUUUUCCUUCUGGGGAGCCGCAUGCCCUUCACUGGGUGUGUCGGGGAACCAGGACUUUUACUUUGAAAAAAUUAGAGUGUUCAAAGCAGGCCUAUGCUCGAAUACAUUAGCAUGGAAUAAUAGAAUAGGACGUGUGGUUCUAUUUUGUUGGUUUCUAGGACCGCCGUAAUGAUUAAUAGGGAUAGUCGGGGGCAUCAGUAUUCAAUUGUCAGAGGUGAAAUUCUUGGAUUUAUUGAAGACUAACUACUGCGAAAGCAUUUGCCAAGGAUGUUUUCAUUAAUCAGUGAACGAAAGUUAGGGGAUCGAAGACGAUCAGAUACCGUCGUAGUCUUAACCAUAAACUAUGCCGACUAGGGAUCGGGCG
This 977-nucleotide ribosomal RNA is filed under the name Pseudogymnoascus sp. TS12. RNAcentral describes it as "SSU rRNA". It matches the Rfam family "Eukaryotic small subunit ribosomal RNA", at positions 74 to 1059 of the family's 1831-position model. The record is from RNAcentral. Lineage: Eukaryota; Fungi; Ascomycota; Leotiomycetes; Thelebolales; Thelebolaceae.